Molecule: ribosomal RNA, 253 nt
Filed under: uncultured bacterium
Lineage: Bacteria
Description: partial 16S ribosomal RNA
Rfam family: Bacterial small subunit ribosomal RNA
Source: RNAcentral
UACAGAGGAGCCAAGCGUUGUCCGGAUUUACUGGGCGUAAAGCGCACGCAGGCGGACGCGCGCGUGGGGUGUGAAAUCUGGCCGCUUAACGGCCAGGCGCCAUCCCAUACGGCGCGUCUGGAGCCAUGCAGAGGUCGGUGGAAUUCCUGGUGUAGCGGUGGAAUGCGCAGAUAUCAGGAGGAACACCGAUGGCGAAGGCAGUUCUCUGGGCCGUAACUGACGCUGAGGAGCGAAAGCGUGGGGAGCGAACAGG